Molecule: long non-coding RNA, 238 nt
Filed under: Polistes fuscatus (common paper wasp)
Lineage: Eukaryota; Metazoa; Arthropoda; Insecta; Hymenoptera; Vespidae
Description: uncharacterized LOC122515533
Source: RNAcentral
CAACUAUCGAUAUAUCGAAAAUUCAAAUCGAUCAAAUUGCCUAACUACGUCGACACAUUGCGCAAUUUAGCUGACAAUAAUCUGCAUAAACCGAUGGCGCAGCGAAAUGCAAAUAAAAGGAUGUCCCCUUAUUCCAGUAAGUGGAAAAUAUUAGAUAAAAGGAAAGACAUUUCGAAAUAUUUGAAUGUGUACUCUUUAUCUUCCUAAUUUUCCACAAUAAACUUUUUCUUGCCAAGGA